GGGGUUGUGGCUUAGUGGUAGAGUGCUCGCCUAGUGUGCAUGAGGCACUGAGUUUGAUUCUCAGCACCACCU
RNAcentral lists this transfer RNA (72 nucleotides) under Ictidomys tridecemlineatus (thirteen-lined ground squirrel). RNAcentral describes it as "Spermophilus tridecemlineatus (thirteen-lined ground squirrel) tRNA". It matches the Rfam family "tRNA". From Rfam's summary of the family: Transfer RNA (tRNA) molecules are approximately 80 nucleotides in length. RNAcentral also lists the same sequence under 1 other name. Lineage: Eukaryota; Metazoa; Chordata; Mammalia; Rodentia; Sciuridae. The record is from Rfam by way of RNAcentral.